Molecule: long non-coding RNA, 1040 nt
Filed under: Trifolium pratense (red clover)
Lineage: Eukaryota; Viridiplantae; Streptophyta; Magnoliopsida; Fabales; Fabaceae
Description: long non-coding RNA (TPRA_LNC007703)
Source: RNAcentral
UUUUCUAAAAACUCUGCAAUGCCCACGCCACGGAGCAAACGGGUUCAAGGAGUGCAUAGGAAUGGGUUCCAACCACCCUUUACAUUUCAUGCAAUUUAAUAUAUUGCUUUGUUCUUGCUUUAUUUUCCUUUUUCUUUUGCAAUUAUGCAUUCAUUUUCAUCUUCUUUAUUUUUCUUUCUUUUCAAUACUCACUUGAGUAUUUUUUCUAUUAUGUUGUCGUGAGACAACUUGUUAUUAAAAGUUGUUGGAUGCGAUUCUAACACUAAAAAGAACAAUUAUUUUGUUCUUAAAGACGCAUGAAUUACAUCAUAAAUCCCGAGACUUGAACGAACACUUCAAAAAAAGGAUUCUUAUCGGAUCCUGCAGUUAGAAGGACUUUUAUCCAGGUCUUAAAGUAACAAUGGAUAAUUAUGUUUACGUUACCAAAAAUUGGUGUAAACAGUAACAGAUGUCUCAGAAUGUCAAAGUAUGUCACCCAACUGCUAUAAAAGAUCCUCUAACAUGCAGCACCACGGCGUGCCUUCUAAAUCCAAUCUACUGCAACACGCAUCUCAAGAGAUAGCCAUCCAUUUUGGCUAUUGAAAUUGCUGUACACUUGUGCUGUAUUGUGCAUUAACUUCUUCAAACUGAUAAGACCAAAAUGUGAAGUAAUGAUUUGGACUUUGGAUGCUCUUGUCAUCGAUUUCGUAAUUGUAGGUUCUGUUAGAAUGUGAUGGUGAAAGUCUCAAGUGUAUAUUGAUUUAAAUAGCUAUUUACUUCACCUCACAGUUCAUGAAAAACUUGUAAUAUAGCAGCACCAUUUGUGAAAAUCGUGUUAUCACAAAGGGCGAAGAUGUGAGAAUCUUCGAUUCAUAAUUUUCUUAGGUACUAUUCAAGCAGAACAAUUGAUUUCAUUUUGAACAAUGGUUCUUAUGACAGUACUAUCCAUGGUUACCUGUUUCAGUUAGUGUUUCUGUGAAAUCCAUCUCUCUUCCCCAUCAAACUGGUUGAACAUUAAGCCGCGCUCCUUUUAAACUUUUCACACAAUUGAUAGAAGUAAU